UACGUAGGGUGCAGGCGUUAAUCGGAAUUACUGGGCGUAAAGCGUGCGCAGGCGGUUUGCUAAGACAGGUGUGAAAUCCCCGGGCUUAACCUGGGAACUGCGCUUGUUACUGGCAGGCUUGAGUGUGGCAGAGGGGGGUGGAAUUCCACGUGUAGCAGUGAAAUGCGUAGAUAUGUGGAGGAAUACCGAUGGCGAAGGCGGGUCUCUGGGCCGAUACUGACGCUGAGGAGCGAAAGCGUGGGGAGCGAACAGG
This 253-nucleotide ribosomal RNA is filed under the name uncultured bacterium. Its description in RNAcentral is "partial 16S ribosomal RNA". It matches the Rfam family "Bacterial small subunit ribosomal RNA", at positions 524 to 776 of the family's 1533-position model. The record is from RNAcentral.